This 393-nucleotide long non-coding RNA is filed under the name Solanum tuberosum (potato). RNAcentral's name for it is "long non-coding RNA (STUB_LNC011600)". Lineage: Eukaryota; Viridiplantae; Streptophyta; Magnoliopsida; Solanales; Solanaceae. The record is from RNAcentral.
GCAGAAUGGUGUUCCUAAAGUAAUUAAAUUACACCAAAUCAUCUACACCAUCUCAACUAACAACUACACAUAAUAAUUUACCAUCACAAAUCAAUAAGCUUUAUAACCAAUUUAAUAAUUCUUCAAUUUUGUUAGCUAUACCAAAUCAGGCACCAAUAAAUGUACCAAAAUAUUUACUGCGAAUUAUGUUGGUAUUCCAAACGGCUGAAGAGACAUAAAUUAGUGGUCUAGACAAUCAUUUUCACCAAAUCAGUUACCAAAAUAUAUACCAUAGUUUCGUUGUAUAAACGUUAAUUUUCUUCAAUUUGUUAUCUAUACCAAGUCAGACAAUAAAAUAUACCAAUAGAUGUACCAAAAUAAUAACUUGCGGUUGAUUUUUCUACAAGGUCUACA